AUUGAACGCUGGCGGCAUGCCUUACACAUGCAAGUCGAACGGUAACGGGUCCUUCGGGAUGCCGACGAGUGGCGAACGGGUGAGUAAUAUAUCGGAACGUGCCCAGUAGUGGGGGAUAACUGCUCGAAAGAGCAGCUAAUACCGCAUACGACCUGAGGGUGAAAGGGGGGGAUCGCAAGACCUCUCGCUAUUGGAGCGGCCGAUAUCAGAUUAGCUAGUUGGUGGGGUAAAGGCCUACCAAGGCAACGAUCUGUAGUUGGUCUGAGAGGACGACCAGCCACACUGGGACUGAGACACGGCCCAGACUCCUACGGGAGGCAGCAGAGGGGAAUUUUGGACAAUGGGCGCAAGCCUGAUCCAGCAAUGCCGCGUGCAGGAAGAAGGCCUUCGGGUUGUAAACUGCUUUUGUCAGGGAAGAAAUCUUCUGGGCUAAUACCCCGGGAGGAUGACGGUACCUGAAGAAUAAGCACCGGCUAACUACGUGCCAGCAGCCGCGGUAAUACGUAGGGUGCGAGCGUUAAUCGGAAUUACUGGGCGUAAAGCGUGCGCAGGCGGCUUUGCAAGACAGAUGUGAAAUCCCCGGGCUCAACCUGGGAACUGCAUUUGUGACUGCAAGGCUAGAGUACGGCAGAGGGGGAUGGAAUUCCGCGUGUAGCAGUGAAAUGCGUAGAUAUGCGGAGGAACACCAAUGGCGAAGGCAAUCCCCUGGGCCUGUACUGACGCUCAUGCACGAAAGCGUGGGGAGCAAACAGGAUUAGAUACCCUGGUAGUCCACGCCCUAAACGAUGUCAACUGGUUGUUGGACGGCUUGCUGUUCAGUAACGAAGCUAACGCGUGAAGUUGACCGCCUGGGGAGUACGGCCGCAAGGUUGAAACCCAAAGGAAUUGACGGGGACCCGCACAAGCGGUGGAUGAAGUGGUUUAAUUCGAUGCAACGCGAAAAACCUUACCUACCCUUGACAUGUCAAGAAUUCUGCAGAGAUGUGGAAGUGCUCGAAAGAGAACUUGAACACAGGUGCUGCAUGGCCGUCGUCAGCUCGUGUCGUGAGAUGUUGGGUUAAGUCCCGCAACGAGCGCAACCCUUGUCAUUAGUUGCUACGCAAGAGCACUCUAAUGAGACUGCCGGUGACAAACCGGAGGAAGGUGGGGAUGACGUCGGGUCCUCAUGGCCCUUGUGGGUAGGGCUACACACGUCAUACAAUGGCCGGUACAGAGGGCUGCCAACCCGCGAGGGGGAGCCAAUCCCAGAAAACCGGUCGUAGUCCGGAUCGUAGUCUGCAACUCGACUGCGUGAAGUCGGAAUCGCUAGUAAUCGCGGAUCAGCUUGCCGCGGUGAAUACGUUCCCGGGUCU
This 1352-nucleotide ribosomal RNA is filed under the name uncultured bacterium. RNAcentral's name for it is "bacterial SSU rRNA". It matches the Rfam family "Bacterial small subunit ribosomal RNA", at positions 28 to 1381 of the family's 1533-position model. The record is from RNAcentral.